GAUGAGGUGGCCAAGUGGUUAAGGUGAUGGACUGUUAAUCCAUUGUGCUCUGCACACAUGGGUUUGAAUCCCAUCCUCAUCA
Molecule: transfer RNA, 82 nt
Organism: Alligator mississippiensis (American alligator)
Lineage: Eukaryota; Metazoa; Chordata; Crocodylia; Alligatoridae
Rfam family: tRNA
About the family: Transfer RNA (tRNA) molecules are approximately 80 nucleotides in length. Their secondary structure includes four short double-helical elements and three loops (D, anti-codon, and T loops).
Source: Rfam